Molecule: long non-coding RNA, 625 nt
Organism: Clupea harengus (Atlantic herring)
Lineage: Eukaryota; Metazoa; Chordata; Actinopteri; Clupeiformes; Clupeidae
Exons: 4
Source: RefSeq, a predicted model, not a curated record
CUUGCAGUGGACCCUCUAAGCAGUGUCCCCCACUUCAUGACUCGUGUGCCAGCUCCAAUGUUGCAACUGUAGUAGGGGGUUUAACUUCUGAAGUAAAUAACAAAAGCUGCGUCCCAUCUGCACAAUGUCUCAAUGGUUCCCUGAACUUAGGAAGUGUAAGGAUCAGACAGAGCACCUUGUGCUGUGGCACAGACAACUGCAACACCGGAAGUCCUCCAGCUGAUGUAAAUUACAUGGCCAAUGGGAGGCAGUGUUUCACCUGUGACGUGACGGGCUGCUCAUCAAGGAUUCAAUGUGCCGGUGAUGAGGAUCGCUGUGUCUCUGCAACAGCUGGACAGAGCACUGCCGCAAAAGGCUGUGCCACCCAAAAUGCCUGCUCUGGAGCGUUUUCACAGGCGCUGGACUUGGUGGCUGUGGAACUGCACUGCUGUGAGGGGGAUCUGUGCAACAGUGCCUGGAGUGCUACACACAGUGUCCUGUUCCUGCUCUGGCCCCUGGGCUCUGUUCUGCUCUUCCACUGAGCUGGCUUCAUCUCAGGGUGACCCCUCUGCUUGGAGAUGGGCUGCUAUUUUCAACACAAACUUGUUAAUGGCUGUUAAAGCAAAUAAACAAAGAUUUGUUUUCA